UUUUGAGAUAACUACCCAACCUUUUAAAAUUUUAAUUUUAGUAUCCAAUCUUUCAAUUUUUUGAUUUGAGUUAGUUAAUGAUAUUUUUACUUCAUAAUUUAAGCUAAUUAGGUUUCGUUUGGAAUUGCGAAAGAAUUGCGUUACGUGCAGUAAGAAAAUGCGAUAAAAAAAUAUCAUGUUUGUUUCCGUACGUAAUAUUGUA
Molecule: long non-coding RNA, 202 nt
Filed under: Ananas comosus (pineapple)
Lineage: Eukaryota; Viridiplantae; Streptophyta; Magnoliopsida; Poales; Bromeliaceae
Description: long non-coding RNA (ACOM_LNC034495)
Source: RNAcentral